UUUUUUUUUUUUUUUUUGUCCUUUUGCUAUUUCUUUGGGCUGCUCCCACGGCAUAUGGAGGUUCCCAGGCUAGGGGGCGAAUCGGAGCUGUAGUCACCAGCCUACACCAGAGCCACAGCAACGCGGGAUCUGAGCUGUGUCUGCAACCUACACCACAGCUCACGGCAACGCCGGAUCGUUAACCCACUGAGCAAGGGCAGGGACUGAACCCGCAACCUCAUGGUUCCUAGUCGGAUUCGUUAACCACUGCGCCACGACAGGAACUCCUACAUAUUCUAUUAUUUUCACAUAUUGGAUCAUAAGAAUUGGUCCAUUUCUAUAUAUAAUCCAUAGGUUUAUAAUUUUAAGAGAUUUGUAAUAUUCCAUUAUAUUCAUCUCUCCUUUUCUAAGGUUAAACAAUUUUUUGAAGGGUGGGGAUGGGAAAGGAUUUAUAUUAUUUAUUUUAUUUUGUUUUUGCUUUUAUUUUAUUGCACGGUUUUUAUGAACGAGACCCCUCAGCCCAGAAGUACGUUUAAGCAAAGUGGGAAAUCUUGUCUUCUUCCUCUUAGCUUCUAAUUAUUCAGAUUAGAACCAAGAAUCACCACACUAAUAGUCUCAGAGCCAAUCCAUAGUAAGUGUCACACCUAUAAUUCAUUGCAUCCACCACCAAGCCCUCCCUGUAGCCCAUAAGGAAAAGGAAGCCAGGGAGGCAAUGAGCAAACGAUGGUGCUCUCAUGACAGCUGUCACCUUCUUUUCUGUGACGUUCUGAAGAGCAAAGCCACCAUUUCCAAAAGGCCUUUCCAGCCGACAGCAAGAGGAACCAAGGAACCAGCCUGGUGAUAAGCUACUUCCUUGUCUGGUUUACUGCUCCUUCCUCCCAAAGUUGGCAGGUUUAAUUUUAAUAUUUACAGAGCUGGUAUGGUAAGCAGGCAAAUGAGGAGUUCCUGUUGUGGCACAGUGGAAACGAAUCUGACUCAGAGCCAUGAGGUUGCAGGUUCGAUCCCUGGCCUUGCUAAAGUGGGUUAGGGAUCGGGUGUUGCCAUGAGCUGUGGUGUGGGUUGCAGACAUGGCUCGGAUCUGAAGUCGCUAUGGCGGUGGCAUAGGCGAGCAGCUUCAGCUCCAAUUUGAUCCCUAGCCUGGGAAUGUCCAUAUGCCACUGGUACAGCCCUCAAAACACAGGCAGUGAAUUAUUUUCUCCCUCUUUAGAAAUACCCCUUCCACCUCCAAGGUUUUGUUAUCCUGGUUGAAUUUCAUUUGUUCAUGAUCGUUUACUGAGCAUCCACUAUACCAAUCACUGUACUAGCCUAUGGGAAUACAACAGGGAACAUAACAGACAUAGCCAAGUGUCCCCAUGGAUCUUUAAUUUGAAUAAACACUUAAACCAAAUACAUAAACUAAAAGGACAGCUGGUGCAAUAAAUGUUAUGAUAAAAAUGUAAAGGCUUUUAUGAUAAAGAAUAGCAAGAGGCGUUUACUUUGGCCUCCCUGAGGAAGUUGUAUUUCAGGUGAAUGCAGAAGGAGAAGAGCCCACCGUGCAGUGAGCUGAGAGGAGAGUAUAUCAGGUGGAGGAAACUGCCAGUGCAAAGGCCCUGAGUCUGCAACCUGCUUGGUUCUGGGAACUACCAGAAAGGUAGAAUGGCUACUGCACAGGGGUGAAGAGGAGAUUGGCACAGAAGGAGGUAAAUGAGGUGGGCAGGGGCCACAGGUGGCUGUGCUGAGCUCAAGGUCACAUUACAUUAGACAUGAGGAUGAAGGGGGUCUGUUCACUACCCCCAAGACCCCAAUCCCCCAGACUUCCCUAUUCCUCAGCUCUCUGGUCCUUGAACCCAUCAUUAUAGCAAUUAUCUCUGUUUGCAUCCAUCAUUCGUCCAUCAGAAGCCCAUGCCUCCCCUCCCCCCUUAUGUCCUACCCUCUCCACUCCCCACAGUCUCUCUGUGUCUCCCCUUCUGCUCCUUUCCCCUACUCCUCCCCAGUUCCCCAAAUUCUUCUACUGUCCUCUGGGAUUUCUAGUCCCUCAACAACAACAUCUCAUUUGCUCAAGCUCUUCUCUGCUUACUUCUCUUCCUUUCCUUGCUCUCUUGGAAAGGCAGCCCUCCUGUGAAGACUCCGCUUUCCUGAAGCCCUUCCAAGCAGUGACUCUUUUCUUCUACACCCCAUGGACCACAGGACCUGGAGGUGGGGCAGGAAUUCAUAUUGGUCCAAUGUGCCUUCCCUCUGCCUAAAGCUCCCCAGACUUUGAAUCUCAUGUCAUCUGAUCACAUUAUCCACUACCUGUCAUUGUAGCUGUCAUCUAUCAACCUCUGGCUCAUUCCUCCUGUUUUUCGGUGGUUGUGGUUCAUUGUCACUCAAUCUUGCCCACAUCUAGUCUGCUUGUGUCCUUACCUGUCUCAGUCAACAGCAACUCCAUUCUUUUACAGCUGAAAUACUUGAUGUCAUCACCGACCCCUCUCCCUCAAUCCACCAAGAGAUGCUGUUACUUCUACCUUCAAAUAUUUCAUCCAGAAUCUGACACGUCUCACCACUCUCAAGGUGACUCCCACCUGGAUCACUGCAAUAGCUUCCUCAUAGGUCCCCCCGGCUUUUAUACUUGCUUCUUGCAAUGAGGCUUUUAAACAUAACUUAGAGCAAGAUACCCAUCUGUUUGAAUCACUAAAAUGGCUUUCCACCUCCUCGGAGAAAAGGCCAAAUUCCCUGUAUUGGUCUUCUUAGCCUUAGAUGACCUGGCCUCCAGUUACUCUCCGACAUUGCUCACUUCAAUGGCCUCCUUGCUGGGUCUUAAAAACAUACAUACAUUUUUGGCUUUAGAACAUUUGAACUUCCCAGAUGCUUCUCUGGAUUUCAAUACAGUAAACUGCCUCACCUCCUUUAACUCAUUAAUCUAAUGCCACCUUCUUCCCCACGUAAUAACAUUUAAAGUUGACACUCACCUCCCCAGCACCCCAACCCCCCCAUCCUACUCUACUUUUUAUUUAUACCAUUUAUGCCAUUGACCCUAGUAUUAAACUUAUUGCGCAUUAACCAAAAUGUAAGUUGCCUGGGGUGGGGAUUAUUUCUUGUUCUAUUUACUUUUGUGCCCCAAGUGUUUAGGAACCAUAUCUACCAUAUAAUAUAGGCUCAAUAAGCAGUUUUAGAAUCAUGACACAAGGUGAAGUAUUUGGAUUAUAUUCUAAAUGAAAUUAAAGUCAUCAAGUAUUGUAAGUGGGCAAUUGAUGUGAUCUGAUUUACUAUUUAAAAUACGACUUUGGGUGCUAUGUGGUGAGUGGGCUAUAAAACGGAAAAAAAAAAGGCAAGUUAGGUGGUUAUUGCAGGCGUGCAGGUGAUGUGCUGUCAGUGGAGAUGGGAAAUGGAGUCAAUGUAUGUUUUGAAGCCAGAGCUGACAGUCCUUGCUCCUUUAUUGAUGGAGCUUAGUGAAAAAAUGGAGAGAAUCAAGAAAAAGUCUAAGGUUUCUGGCUGGAAAAAAAGAUGUAUUGGAAGAGGUAUGGAUAUACUGAAAAAGGAAAACUGAGAGAGUGAAUGGGCUGCCACGGACUGAAGGUUUAUGCCUCCUCAGAAUCCAUAUGUUGAAGUCUAACCCCAAUGUGACGUAUUAGGAGGUGGGGCCUUAGAAAGGUGAUUAGGUCAUGAGGGUGGAGCCCUCGUGAAUGGUAGUUGCCCUUCCAAGGAACAUGAGAGCAUGACACCUUUUUCUCUCUUCUGCACCAUGUCAGAACCCAAGGAGAAAAUGACCAUCUUCUCUCACCAGAUCUGCCGAUGCCUUGAUCUUCAAAUUCCUGGCCUCCAGACUAUGAGAAAAAAAGUUUAAGUCACCAGUCUAUGGUAUUGCACAGCAGCAUCCGGAAGUGAUGAAGACGUGGGCAUAAAUCUCCUCAGCCUUGCCUGUCUCCUGGAGCUUCUGACAUUGUCCUGCCUCAGCCACCACUGUGGGUUGACACUAUUCUGUGCUGUUUUACCACUGAGGUGGACCAACCAGCCACACACCCAGAGGGUCUGUCUGCUCCUGGAACUCUGACAGUGGGAAACCUGAAAGGGAGGGACAGGUCUGAUAAAUUACCCCUUCCCUAAUGAUGGCCUCUUCCCAGGCCUGGUUUCUCCAUCGGGCCUCCCCAAAGAACUCCACAUGGUCAAGCAUGUCGCCGUGGCCUGAGCAAUAGCACACCACUUUGCACUGCUUCCCGUGAAUUCUGACGAAGAUGAGGAUAAUAGGUUUGUGAACAAAAUUCAAGAAUCAUGUUGGAGUGAGUGUAGACAACUACUUUUGAGACAUUUUUGUAGAAAGUGACAGGGCUUCAUUGAGAGGAGCACUAACAAGAGAGAAGUAGGUAUGUGGUGGUGACCUCACAGUGUAGUGAGGUCCACUUCUGUGGGAAAAGUGGCACAAUUAAUGGGCAUGUUGAAUAGUCCUAUGAGGUUUAUUAUCACACUGUCCUUGGCAGCCUAGUUUUCCGAUUUUUUUCUUGAGCCAACCUCAGCUGCUGGGGUACAAGCACAAAGAGUAGUUAGGUUCCACUUGGUCAAGUAAGGGAUAAAUAACAAUGAUAAAGGAAGCAAGGCAGGAAAUCUAAAGUGAACAAAGAGGAGAGUAAAGCCAGGUGAGGUCUAACAGAUAUGGAGAAAAAAGUGAGAUAGGUGUACACGUGGUCUCGAUAAGGUCAAAAAUUGUAACAGAGAAGGUUCUAGAAUAGAGGUCAUCAAACUUUUUCUAUAGAGUACUAGAUAGUAAAUGUUUUAAGCCUUGUGAUCCAUAUGCAGUCUGUGUCACAUUUCUUCUUUGUUUUUGAAUUUUAAUACUCUUUAAAAAUUCUUAGCUUGCAAGCUGACUUUGGGCCGGGCCACAUGUGGGCCUUGAGCCAUAGUUUGGCCAACUCCCAUUCCUGUUCUAGAGCAUAUAAGCUAGGAGUUAUAGGGUAGAAGGCAGAAAGUGCAUGUUUUAAACUGAGAUUUGGAGGGGGUCAAGUUUCUAAGUGUGACUAUGGAAAUGGCUGUGGAUGUGUAGAAGGAGGAGGGAGUUACCUGGUGGCCCAGUGGGUUGGGGAUCCGGUGUUGUCUCUGCUGUGGCUAGGGCUACUGCUGUGGUGUGGAUUCAUUCUUUGGCUAGGGAACUUCCACCUGUCAUGGGUGCAGCCAAAAGAAAAAAAAAUGUGUAGUAGAAGGAAAGAUUGCUAGAGGUUAGGAGGCUAGUAACUAGAGGCUGGUGUUUGCAGACAUGGAUGUUGAAACAUUGAAGUUGAUGAGGGAAGGGAGGAGAGAAGUUUGCCAAAUAAAAAAUUACGUGUUAUUUGUCGGAAAAUCAAAUUUAAUAGGCAUCCUGUAUUUUCAUUUGCUGAAUCUGACAGCCCUAGGUAGAGA
RNAcentral lists this long non-coding RNA (5325 nucleotides) under Sus scrofa (pig). RNAcentral's name for it is "lncRNA (ENSSSCG00015057481.1)". Lineage: Eukaryota; Metazoa; Chordata; Mammalia; Artiodactyla; Suidae. The record is from RNAcentral.